Molecule: ribosomal RNA, 305 nt
Filed under: uncultured bacterium
Lineage: Bacteria
Description: partial 16S ribosomal RNA
Rfam family: Bacterial small subunit ribosomal RNA
Source: RNAcentral
ACAGCAGCCGCCGCGGUAAUACGGAGGGUGCAAGCGUUAUCCGGAUUUAUUGGGUUUAAAGGGUCCGUAGGCGGAUCUGUAAGUCAGUGGUGAAAUCUCACAGCUUAACUGUGAAACUGCCAUUGAUACUGCAGGUCUUGAGUAAAUUUGAAGUGGCUGGAAUAAGUAGUGUAGCGGUGAAAUGCAUAGAUAUUACUUAGAACACCAAUUGCGAAGGCAGGUCACUAAGAUUUAACUGACGCUGAUGGACGAAAGCGUGGGGAGCGAACAGGAUUAGAUACCCGAGUAGUCCCUGUCUCUUAUAC